Molecule: long non-coding RNA, 1138 nt
Organism: Venturia canescens
Lineage: Eukaryota; Metazoa; Arthropoda; Insecta; Hymenoptera; Ichneumonidae
Exons: 2
Source: RefSeq, a predicted model, not a curated record
UAUUUACUCGGUGAAUCAUAAAAUAAAAGUGUGUUUAUCGAUUUGUAAUUAUCUUUAGUGUCUUAGUAAUUUUAGAGACGAACAUUUCAAUCUCAGCUUUACGAAAAGGACCGAUUAUCGUUUCUCUUUCAAUUCCAUGUUUAUCUAUAACCAUUUAGUAUUUUUCAAUAUUCAUUUCUAUUGCUCUAACAAUCUCCAAAGAUUUUUUUGAUAUUAAUAUCUUGCCAGUUCUGAGGUUUUAAUUGCUUUUGGCUUUUUCUUUAAGAAAUCGUCAAUCUCUGGAAAAUUUUAUUGGCAUAAAGCAAAGGAAUAUGGCUCAAACAUUGAUACCCUUCGGAAGUUCAUUCAGUGACAUUUAUCAAUGAUUUCUUAUCUCAUUCUCAUAAUAUAUGUAAGCGGCUAAAUACUGGAACGCAGUAGGAAUAGUAGUAGCAAUCGGUGAUAAUAAUUGAAGGGGAUGAAAUGAUUUUCUCACACUGUUUGGUAUUCCCGUGGUGGGUUGGGUCUGAGGGGCCGAGUGAGCAUGGAUAUCGGACGAUCUGCUACCCUAAUUAUUAUCACAAAUUGGUCCGCAACAGCCUCGAUCGAACGUACCGGUUCUUUUUGUUUGGGAGUAAAAAUCCAACAACACGGUACAAUCUAUUUCUCAAUUUCUUUUUAUUUGUGUAUUUCAGUUUAUCAGGCUCGUUCGAUUUGAAUCUUUCGUAUACAUAAGAUUGAGAGAAAACAUUUUGGCUGCAACUCAUCUCUCCUCAUCGAUUCAAGCAUUCAUAUUAUUUUCGGUCCCAACUUUAUCAACUUUGCCAACUUCCAUCGAUUUAUCAACUUCUGUUCCCUCGCUUUGUUCAUUCUUUUCAAAGUCGCAGAGGGUAAUGUUAUUUGACCAAGUGUUGACCAGCUAAAAAUACAUCCUGUAAUGGAAAUAUUAUAAAAUUGUGUUAUUCAUCAUUUCUAAAUACAAGGAAUAUUUGCGAAGGGAUAAAUAAAAAAAAAUUGUUAUGUUAAUCAAGCGAUGAAAGAACUCAAAACUGUGCGUGCAAAUGAUGCCUUUGUUUUCGCUUCUUUGCGUUUUAACGAAUAAAAAUUAUAAUAAUAUUGCGUUUUUCGAUAUUAAUUCGAAUAAAGAAAUCUUUCCGAA